This 492-nucleotide ribosomal RNA is filed under the name uncultured bacterium. Its description in RNAcentral is "partial 16S ribosomal RNA". It matches the Rfam family "Bacterial small subunit ribosomal RNA", at positions 29 to 507 of the family's 1533-position model. The record is from RNAcentral.
AGUGAACGCUGGCGGUAGGCCUAACACAUGCCAGUCGAACGGCAGCACAGUAAGAGCUUGCUCUUACGGGUGGCGAGUGGCGGACGGGUGAGGAAUACAUCGGAAUCUACUUUUUCGUGGGGGAUAACGUAGGGAAACUUACGCUAAUAUCGCAUACGAUCUACGGUUGUAAGCAGGGGAUCUUCGGACCUUGCGCGAUUGGACGAGCCGGUGUCGGGUUAGAUAGUUGGCGGGGUAAUGACCCACCAAGUCGACGAUCCGUAGCCCGUCUGAGAGGAGGAUCACCCACACUGGAACGUAACCAGGGUCCUGACGCCUACGAUACGGAGCAGUGGGGAAUAUUAGACAAUGGGCGCAAAUCUGAUCCAGCCAUACCGCGUGUGUUGAGAAAACCUUCGGUUUGUGAAGCCCUUUUGUUGGGAAAGAAAAGCAGCAGGUUAAUACCCCGCUUUUCUGACGGUACCCAAAGAAUAAGCACCGGCUAACUUCGUG